GACGAGGGGUCCUAGCGUUGUUCGGAAUCACUGGGCGUAAAGCGUUUGUAGGCGGCUCUAUAAGUCGGGUGUGAAAUCCCAUGGCUCAACCAUGGAAGUGCAUUCGAAACUGCAGAGCUUGAAUAUGGAAGAGGAGAGUAGAAUACCUGGUGUAGUGGUGAAAUACGUAGAUAUCAGGUGGAAUACCGGUGGCGAAGGCGGCUCUCUGGUCCAAUAUUGACGCUGAGAAACGAAAGUGUGGGGAGCAAACAGG
This 253-nucleotide ribosomal RNA is filed under the name uncultured bacterium. RNAcentral describes it as "partial 16S ribosomal RNA". It matches the Rfam family "Bacterial small subunit ribosomal RNA", at positions 524 to 776 of the family's 1533-position model. The record is from RNAcentral.